CCUACGGGAGGCAGCAGUAGGGAAUCUUUCACAAUGGGCGAAAGCCUGAUGGAGCAACGCCGCGUGCAGGAUGAAGGCCUUCGGGUUGUAAACUGCUUUUAUAAGCGAGAAAUAUGAUGGUACCUUAUGAAUAAGGAUCGGCUAACUACGUGCCAGCAGCCGCGGUCAUACGUAGGAUCCGAGCAUUAUCCGGAGUGACUGGGUGUAAAGAGUUGCGUAGGUGGCAUAAUAAGUAGCUAGUGAAAUCUGGUGGCUCAACCAUUCAGACUAUUAGCUAAACUGUUAAGCUCGAGACCGUUAGGGGUAACUGGAAUUUCUAGUGUAGGAGUGAAAUCCGUAGAUAGUAGAAGGAACACCAAUAGCGUAGGCAGGUUGCUGGGACGGUUCUGACACUAAGGCACGAAAGCGUAGGGAGCAAACGGGAUUAGAUACCCGUGUAGUC
This 442-nucleotide ribosomal RNA is filed under the name uncultured bacterium. RNAcentral describes it as "partial 16S ribosomal RNA". It matches the Rfam family "Bacterial small subunit ribosomal RNA", at positions 338 to 795 of the family's 1533-position model. The record is from RNAcentral.